AUUGAACGCUGGCGGCAUGCCUUACACAUGCAAGUCGAACGGCAGCACGGGUGCUUGCACCUGGUGGCGAGUGGCGAACGGGUGAGUAAUACAUCGGAACGUACCUUAUCGUGGGGGAUAACGCAGCGAAAGCUGUGCUAAUACCGCAUACGCCCUGAGGGGGAAAGCGGGGGAUCGCAAGACCUCGCGCGAUUAGAGCGGCCGAUGCCUGAUUAGCUAGUUGGUGGGGUAAAAGCCCACCAAGGCGACGAUCAGUAGCUGGUCUGAGAGGACGAUCAGCCACACUGGGACAGAGACACGGCCCAGACUCCUACGGGAGGCAGCAGUGGGGAAUUUUGGACAAUGGGGGCAACCCUGAUCCAGCAAUGCCGCGUGAGUGAAGAAGGCCUUCGGGUCGUAAAGCUCUUUUGUCAGGGAAGAAACACCGGCUCUAACACAGCCCGGGAAUGACGGUACCUGAAGAAUAAGCACCGGCUAACUACGUGCCAGCAGCCGCGGUAA
RNAcentral lists this ribosomal RNA (501 nucleotides) under uncultured bacterium. RNAcentral describes it as "partial 16S ribosomal RNA". It matches the Rfam family "Bacterial small subunit ribosomal RNA", at positions 29 to 523 of the family's 1533-position model. The record is from RNAcentral.